GAAAGUAUCUGCUUUUACUGGACAAUGCCAACUAAAGGCACACCUGGGUAUACAAUUAGGCAAUAGGCACUAAAUAAAAUAAUAACGUUUUUUGUGAGUCCCGCAUUGUUUGUGUCGUUUCACGUCGUAUUCACCUCCGUGUGAAAUGGAAAAAGGACUCAA
Molecule: long non-coding RNA, 162 nt
Organism: Gadus macrocephalus (Pacific cod)
Lineage: Eukaryota; Metazoa; Chordata; Actinopteri; Gadiformes; Gadidae
Exons: 2
Source: RefSeq, a predicted model, not a curated record